GAUGAACGCUAGCGGGAGGCUUAACACAUGCAAGUCGAGGGGUAAAUGGCAGCAAUGCUAUGAGACCGGCGGACGGGUGCGUAACGCGUGGGAACGUACCUUUUGGUUCGGAACAACACAGGGAAACUUGUGCUAAUACCGGAUAAGCCCUUACGGGGAAGAUUUAUCGCCGAAAGAUCGGCCCGCGUCUGAUUAGCUAGUUGGUGAGGUAACGGCUCACCAAGGCGACGAUCAGUAGCUGGUCUGAGAGGAUGAUCAGCCACAUUGGGACUGAGACACGGCCCAAACUCCGUACGGGA
Molecule: ribosomal RNA, 299 nt
Filed under: uncultured bacterium
Lineage: Bacteria
Description: partial 16S ribosomal RNA
Rfam family: Bacterial small subunit ribosomal RNA
Source: RNAcentral